Molecule: long non-coding RNA, 730 nt
Filed under: Homo sapiens (human)
Lineage: Eukaryota; Metazoa; Chordata; Mammalia; Primates; Hominidae
Description: HSALNT0365769
Source: RNAcentral
CCCCUUCCCACCAUCCCCUUCCUUCCAUUAGCCUUGACGCUACCUCUACGGUCCUGCAGCUGCAACUCCCCACCCCUGUCCCACAGAUGCAGGCCUCCUCUGUCCCUGGACACUGGACUUCAGGCUGAGGUGUCCUGCCUUGGAGGUAUUACCGACUUGUUUUCAUUUGUAGCCUCUUUCCAACUUUUACAUUUGGAACAUUGUAAAAAUCUGCUCUGUCAAGAAGCAUAAUUGGAAUUUUCCCACACAAAUGUUUAAAUGAGGCACUGCUCAAAGAAGAAAGGGACACCAUCCCUAGUUUCAAGGCGCGACUUGUCCUGCCCCUGAUGGCUGUGGCUGAUCCACGAGGAAGUAAACUUGGACUGGGAAAACACAAACUGUCUCGGCCUGCAACAUACAUCCCAUUGAUAAAUGUAUUGAUAAACCCUAACAUCGAUAAGACAUCUGUCUGGACCUUUCAGGUCUGAACAGACAGGGCAGCUGCUGAGAACCUGGGGAAACUGACAAUCCGAUUCCUCUCUGUGUCUGAACCUUCCCUCUUCUCACUGCACCACCAGUGCAGGCCUCUUUGACUCACACAAGACCGUUUUUUUAGCACAAGGUCACCUCGAGGUCAACCGUCAACCCCAAUGCUACAGAAACUCACCUCUGACUGCGAACCUCCAGGUUUUUUUUUAAUCUACCAAGCAAUGAAUUGGCACUUUUCACUGAGGAAUGACUACUGGGCCCU